RNAcentral lists this ribosomal RNA (421 nucleotides) under uncultured bacterium. Its description in RNAcentral is "bacterial SSU rRNA". It matches the Rfam family "Bacterial small subunit ribosomal RNA", at positions 362 to 775 of the family's 1533-position model. The record is from RNAcentral.
UAUUGGACAAUGGGGGCAACCCUGAUCCAGCCAUGCCACUUGUGUGAAGAAGGCCUUUUGGUUGUAAAGUACUUUAAGCAGUGAAGAAGACUCCAUGGUUAAUACCCACGGACGAUGACAUUAGCUGCAGAAUAAGCACCGGCUAACUCUGUGCCAGCAGCCGCGGUAAUACAGAGGGUGCAAGCGUUAAUCGGAAUUACUGGGCGUAAAGCGAGCGUAGGUGGCUUGAUAAGUCAGAUGUGAAAUCCCCGGGCUUAACCUGGGAACUGCAUCUGAUACUGUUAGGCUAGAAUAGGUGAGAGGAAGGUAGAAUUCCAGGUGUAGCGGUGAAAUGCGUAGAGAUAUAGAGGAAUAACGAUGGCGAAGGCAGCCUUCUGGCAUCAUAUUGACACUGAGGUUCGAAAGCGUGGGUAGCAAACAG